RNAcentral lists this ribosomal RNA (2082 nucleotides) under Triticum aestivum (bread wheat). Its description in RNAcentral is "partial small subunit ribosomal RNA". The record is from RNAcentral. Lineage: Eukaryota; Viridiplantae; Streptophyta; Magnoliopsida; Poales; Poaceae.
AUGUCUCUCAUCCCAGCUCUGUUCCUCCUCCUCCUCCUCGCCACCCUCGCCGCUUCCCAAGAAUUCACCUACACCGGCUUCGGCGCUGCCCGCAACGGCGGCGCCCCGAACCUCACCCUGAACGGCGUCACGGAGCUCCAGCCGGACGGCAUCAUGCGCCUCACCAACGACACCUCCCGGCUCAAGGGCCACGCCUUCUACCCGUCCCCGCUCCGCCUCCUCGGCCCGCCCGGCUCCGGUGCCAAGAACAACGCCACCGCGGCGGCGGUGUCCUUCUCCACGGCGUUCGCGUUCGCCGUCGUGCCCGAGUACCCCAGGCUCGGCGGCCACGGCUUCGCCUUCGUGGCCGCCCCCGACCCGCGCCUCCCGGGGGCGCUGCCCAGCCAGUACCUGGGCCUGGUCAGCGCCGACGACGACGGCAACGCCACCAACCACGUCUUCGCCGUCGAGUUCGACACGGUGCAGGACUUCGAGUUCGCCGACAUCAACGACAACCACGUCGGCGUCGACCUCAACAGCCUCACCUCCAACGCGUCCGCGUCCGCCGCGCCCAUCAACCUCAAGUCCGGAGACACCGUCCUCGCCUGGGUCGACUACGAUGGGGACCGGAGGCUCCUCAACGUCUCCAUCGCGACCUUGGCGGCGCCCGAGAAGCCGGCGGCGCCCCUCAUAUCCUUCCACGUCGACCUGUCCAUCGUCUUCCAGGAGCAGAUUUACGUCGGCUUCUCGGCGUCCACGGGGCUCCUUGCCAGCUCGCACUACCUCAUGGGGUGGACCUUCAAGCUGGGCGGCGGCGCCGCACCGCCGCUCGACCUGUCGUCCCUCCCAUCGCUGCCGAGGCCCAAGCCAGACAAGAAGAGCAGGACGACCCUGAUCCUCGCGUCGGUGUUCUCGGCGUUUGUGGCGCUGUUGGUGCUCGCCGGCGCGGGCGCCUACGCGGCAUACCGCAUCAAGAACCGCGAGGUCAUCGAGCCGUGGGAGCUGGACCACGGCCCGCACCGGUACAAGUACCCGGAGCUGAAGCGCGCCACGCGAGGGUUCCGCGAUCGCGAGCUCCUCGGCCGCGGCGGCUUCGGCAAGGUGUACCGCGGCGUGCUCCCUGGCACGCCCCCCACCGUGGUCGCCGUGAAGCGCGUGUCCCACGAUUCCCGGCAGGGGCUCCGGGAGUUCGUCGCCGAGAUCGCGUCCAUCGGCCGGCUCCGCCACCGCAACCUCGUGCAGCUCCAGGGCUGGUGCCGCCGCCGCGGCGACCUCCUCCUGGUCUACGACUUCAUGCCCAACGGCAGCCUGGACAUGCACCUCUUCGGCGACGGCCUCCGGGCGGCGCGGCUGACGUGGGGCGUCCGGUACAAGAUCCUCCGGAACGUGGCGUCGGCGCUGCUGUACCUGCACGAGGAGUGGGAGCACGUGGUGCUCCACCGCGACGUCAAGGCAAGCAACGUGCUCCUGGACGGCGACAUGGCGGGGCGGCUCGGCGACUUCGGGCUGGCCAAGCUGUACGAGCACGGCGCGAACCCGGCCACGACGCGGGUGGUGGGCACACUGGGGUACCUGGCGCCGGAGCUGACGCGGACGGGGAAGGCCACGACGGCGGCAGACGUGUUCGCGUUCGGGGCGCUGGUGCUGGAGGUGGUCGCCGGGCGGCGACCCAUCGAGCCGCGGGCGGGGCCGGAGGAGCUGGUGCUGGCGGAGUGGGCGUGGGAGCGGUACGCGGCGGGGGAGGUGGAGAAGGUGGUGGACGCGAGGCUGGGCGGGGCGUUCGACGCCGAGGAGGCGGCCGUGGCGGUGAAGCUGGGGCUGUGGUGCUCGCACCCGGUGCCGGUGGCGCGGCCGACGAUGAGGGAGGUGGCGAGGUACCUGGACAGCGGGGACGCCGCGGAUGUGCCGCCGCCGCCACCACCGCCCCCGCCGCCUCCGGUGUGCUCCGGCGAGGUUGGGUACGACGACUUCGUGCACUCGUUCCCGUCGUCGUCGUUCGAGAGGGCGGCGGCGGCCGGCGGAGGGGACCCGCUGUCGCAGACAUCGGUGGCCACAUUCCCCUUCUCGCCGCUGUCCAUGCGGUCAUCCCACGUCAGCGUAUGA